RNAcentral lists this long non-coding RNA (264 nucleotides) under Ornithorhynchus anatinus (platypus). Its description in RNAcentral is "lncRNA (ENSOANG00000037754.1)". Lineage: Eukaryota; Metazoa; Chordata; Mammalia; Monotremata; Ornithorhynchidae. The record is from RNAcentral.
CCUUUGUUCUCGCCCUGCCGGAUGAACGGCGGCCUGGCUCCUCCUCUCCCUCCUGGACCAUUUGGUUUCCAGCCCCUUCCCACGGAACCCGGAGAUUAAAGAAACGGUGAGAAAAAAGAGCUUGGAACGGAACGAAACAAAGAAAAGAGAGACAGUGCCACAUCUCCUCCUGGAGGACCAGAGAAGUGAAGUGACUCGUCCAAGGUCACACCACGUGCAAGUAGCAGUGCCAGGAUUAGAACACAGGUCUGAUUCGUCCAGUAG